GAUGAACGCUGGCGGCGUGCCUAACACAUGCAAGUCGAGCGAACGGACGAGAAGCUUGCUUUUCUGAUGUUAGCGGCGGACGGGUGAGUAACACGUGGAUAACCUACCUAUAAGACGGGGAUAACUACGGGAAACCGGAGAUAAUAACGGAUAAUAUUUUGAACCGCAUGGUUCAAAAGUGAAAGACGGUCUUGCUGUCAGUAAUAGAUGGAUCCGCGCUGCAUUAGCUAGUUGGUAAGGUAACGGCUUACCAAGGCAACGAUGCAUAGCCGACCUGAGAGGCUGAUCGGCCACACUGGAACUGAGACACGGUCCAGACUCCUACGGGAGGCAGCAGUAGGGAAUCUUCCGCAAAGGGCGAAAGCCUGACGCAGCCACGCCGCGUGAGUGAUGAAGGCCUUCGGAUCGUAAAGCUCUGUUAUUAGGGAAGAACAUAUGUGUAAUUAACUGUGCCCAUCUUGACGGUACCUAAUCAGAAAGCCCCGGCUAACUACGUG
Molecule: ribosomal RNA, 497 nt
Filed under: uncultured bacterium
Lineage: Bacteria
Description: partial 16S ribosomal RNA
Rfam family: Bacterial small subunit ribosomal RNA
Source: RNAcentral